This 253-nucleotide ribosomal RNA is filed under the name uncultured bacterium. RNAcentral describes it as "partial 16S ribosomal RNA". It matches the Rfam family "Bacterial small subunit ribosomal RNA", at positions 524 to 776 of the family's 1533-position model. The record is from RNAcentral.
UACGUAGGGGGCAAGCGUUGUCCGGAAUCAUUGGGCGUAAAGCGCGCGUAGGCGGCCAGAUUAGUCCGGUGUGAAAGUCAGAGGCUCAACCUUUGAAUGCCGCUGGAAACUGUCUGGCUUGAGUCCGGAAGGGGCGAGUGGAAUUCCUGGUGUAGCGGUGAAAUGCGCAGAUAUCAGGAAGAACACCCGUGGCGAAGGCAGCUCGCUGGAACGGUACUGACGCUGAGGAGCGAAAGCGUGGGGAGCGAACAGG